AUACAUGCAAGUCGAGCGAACGGACGAGAAGCUUGCUUCUCUGAUGUUAGCGGCGGACGGGUGAGUAACACGUGGAUAACCUACCUAUAAGACUGGGAUAACUUCGGGAAACCGGAGCUAAUACCGGAUAAUAUUUUGAACCGCAUGGUUCAAAAGUGAAAGACGGUCUUGCUGUCACUUAUAGAUGGAUCCGCGCUGCAUUAGCUAGUUGGUAAGGUAACGGCUUACCAAGGCAACGAUGCAUAGCCGACCUGAGAGGGUGAUCGGCCACACUGGAACUGAGACACGGUCCAGACUCCUACGGGAGGCAGCAGUAGGGAAUCUUCCGCAAUGGGCGAAAGCCUGACGGAGCAACGCCGCGUGAGUGAUGAAGGUCUUCGGAUCGUAAAACUCUGUUAUUAGGGAAGAACAUAUGUGUAAGUAACUGUGCACAUCUUGACGGUACCUAAUCAGAAAGCCACGGCUAACUACGUGCCAGCAGCCGCGGUAAUACGUAGGUGGCAAGCGUUAUCCGGAAUUAUUGGGCGUAAAGCGCGCGUAGGCGGUUUUUUAAGUCUGAUGUGAAAGCCCACGGCUCAACCGUGGAGGGUCAUUGGAAACUGGAAAACUUGAGUGCAGAAGAGGAAAGUGGAAUUCCAUGUGUAGCGGUGAAAUGCGCAGAGAUAUGGAGGAACACCAGUGGCGAAGGCGACUUUCUGGUCUGUAACUGACGCUGAUGUGCGAAAGCGUGGGGAUCAAACA
RNAcentral lists this ribosomal RNA (741 nucleotides) under uncultured Bacilli bacterium. RNAcentral's name for it is "bacterial SSU rRNA". It matches the Rfam family "Bacterial small subunit ribosomal RNA", at positions 51 to 774 of the family's 1533-position model. Lineage: Bacteria; Bacillati; Bacillota; Bacilli. The record is from RNAcentral.